RNAcentral lists this transfer RNA (76 nucleotides) under Rubrivivax sp. RNAcentral describes it as "tRNA-Arg". It matches the Rfam family "tRNA". Rfam says of the family: Transfer RNA (tRNA) molecules are approximately 80 nucleotides in length. Their secondary structure includes four short double-helical elements and three loops (D, anti-codon, and T loops). Lineage: Bacteria; Pseudomonadati; Pseudomonadota; Betaproteobacteria; Burkholderiales; Sphaerotilaceae. The record is from RNAcentral.
GCGUCCGUAGCUCAGUGGCAAGAGCGCGGUCCUCCGAAGGCCGAGGCCGGUGGUUCGAACCCACCCGGACGUUCCA